UUCACUUGCUUUAGUGGGAUGGGUUCGAUACUUGGGAGUGGCAUAUCUCCAUAUUUUUUUUAAUGCUUACUAUUUAAUUUUUUUUUUCAUAUCUUAUUGCUAUUUAGUUUAUCUUUAUAUUUUUAUCAAUUUAAUUUGAUCGUUAUUUAGUUGUUUAUAUUUUUAAAAGUUUACCCUUUUAGAUUUAAUUAAUGGUUGAAUUUCCGAUAUGGUUUUUUUAUUCGAUUAGUCGAUUUUUGUGUGUUAAUUAAUUUAGUUAGGUUAUUAGUACCCAUGUCCAUACUUUUACACAUGUAAAUAAUCACAUUCAACA
RNAcentral lists this long non-coding RNA (313 nucleotides) under Lathyrus oleraceus (garden pea). Its description in RNAcentral is "Pisum sativum (pea) long non-coding RNA (PSAT_LNC013236)". Lineage: Eukaryota; Viridiplantae; Streptophyta; Magnoliopsida; Fabales; Fabaceae. The record is from RNAcentral.